Molecule: ribosomal RNA, 253 nt
Filed under: uncultured bacterium
Lineage: Bacteria
Description: partial 16S ribosomal RNA
Rfam family: Bacterial small subunit ribosomal RNA
Source: RNAcentral
UACGAAGGGGGCUAGCGUUGCUCGGAAUCACUGGGCGUAAAGCGCACGUAGGCGGACUCUUAAGUCAGGGGUGAAAUCCCGGAGCUCAACUCCGGAACUGCCUUUGAAACUGCAGUGCUAGAAUUCUGGAGAGGCGAGUGGAAUUCCGAGUGUAGAGGUGAAAUUCGUAGAUAUUCGGAAGAACACCAGUGGCGAAGGCGACUCGCUGGACAGACAUUGACGCUGAGGUGCGAAAGCGUGGGGAGCAAACAGG